ACGGGCGCAUGCCAGGACGCGUCCCAGGCGCACCCAGAAACCCUUUGUGAACUUAUACCUUACUGUUGCCUCGGCGCAUGCCGGCCCCCCUGGGGGCCCCUCCUUCUGGAGGAGCAGGCACGCCGGCGGCCAACCUAACUCUUGUUUUUACACUGAAACUCUGAGAAUAAAACAUAAAUGAAUCAAAACUUUCAACAACGGAUCUCUUGGUUCUGGCAUCGAUGAAGAACGCAGCGAAAUGCGAUAAGUAAUGUGAAUUGCAGAAUUCAGUGAAUCAUCGAAUCUUUGAACGCACAUUGCGCCCUCUGGUAUUCCGGAGGGCAUGCCUGUUCGAGCGUCAUUUCAACCCUCAAGCCUGGCUUGGUGAUGGGGCACUGCCUGUAAAAGGGCAGGCCCUGAAAUUCAGUGGCGAGCUCGCCAGGACCCCGAGCGCAGUAGUUAAACCCUCGCUCUGGAAGGCCCUGGCGGUGCCCUGCCGUUAAACCCCCAACUUCUGAAAAUUUGACCUCGGAUCAGGUAGGAAUACCCGCUGAACUUAAGCAUAUCAAUAAGCGGAGGAA
Molecule: ribosomal RNA, 560 nt
Filed under: Diaporthe capsici
Lineage: Eukaryota; Fungi; Ascomycota; Sordariomycetes; Diaporthales; Diaporthaceae
Description: eukaryotic LSU rRNA
Rfam family: 5.8S ribosomal RNA (bases 187-340)
Source: RNAcentral